This 421-nucleotide ribosomal RNA is filed under the name uncultured SAR324 cluster bacterium. RNAcentral's name for it is "bacterial SSU rRNA". It matches the Rfam family "Bacterial small subunit ribosomal RNA", at positions 388 to 827 of the family's 1533-position model. Lineage: Bacteria; Deltaproteobacteria. The record is from RNAcentral.
GCAGCAUGUCGCGUGAGUGAAGAAGGCCCUUGGGUCGUAAAGCUCUUUUAUGGGGGAAGAUGAUGACGGUACCCCAAGAAUAAGCACCGGCUAACUAUGUGCCAGCAGCCGCGGUAAUACAUAGGGUGCGAGCGUUGUUCGGAAUUACUGGGCGUAAAGGGCGCGCAGGCGGAAUAGUAAGUCGGAGGUGAAAGCCCGGGGCUCAACCCCGGAGGGUCUUUCGAAACUGCUAAUCUAGAGAGGGUCAGGGGCCGGCAGAAUUCCUGGUGUAGAGGUGAAAUUCAUAUAUAUCAGGAGGAAUACCGGUGGCGAAGGCGGCCGGCUGGGGCCACUCUGACGCUGAGGCGCGAAAGCGUGGGGAGCAAACAGGAUUAAAUACCCUGGUAGUCCACGCCGUAAACGAUGAGCACUGGACGUCCGG